AGCCCCCCUCAAGAUGAGAUUUCCCAAUUAGUAAGACCCCUUGAAGACGACGAGGUAGAUAGGUUGGAGGUGGAAGUGCAGCAAUGCAUGGAGCUGACCAAUACUAAUCGGUCGAGGGCUUAUCCAAG
This 128-nucleotide ribosomal RNA is filed under the name Paenibacillus rhizophilus. RNAcentral describes it as "Paenibacillus sp. 7197 partial 23S ribosomal RNA". It matches the Rfam family "Bacterial large subunit ribosomal RNA", at positions 2791 to 2925 of the family's 2925-position model. The record is from RNAcentral. Lineage: Bacteria; Bacillati; Bacillota; Bacilli; Caryophanales; Paenibacillaceae.